UGGGGAAUUUUGGACAAUGGGCGAAAGCCUGAUCCAGCAAUGCCGCGUGUGUGAAGAAGGCCUUCGGGUUGUAAAGCACUUUUGUCCGGAAAGAAAUCCUUGGCUCUAAUACAGUCGGGGGAUGACGGUACCGGAAGAAUAAGCACCGGCUAACUACGUGCCAGCAGCCGCGGUAAUACGUAGGGUGCAAGCGUUAAUCGGAAUUACUGGGCGUAAAGCGUGCGCAGGCGGUUUGCUAAGACCGAUGUGAAAUCCCCGGGCUCAACCUGGGAACUGCAUUGGUGACUGGCAGGCUAGAGUAUGGCAGAGGGGGGUAGAAUUCCACGUGUAGCAGUGAAAUGCGUAGAGAUGUGGAGGAAUACCGAUGGCGAAGGCAGCCCCCUGGGCCAAUACUGACGCUCAUGCACGAAAGCGUGGGGGAGCAAAACAGGAUUAGAUACCCUGGUAGUCCACGCCCUAAAACGAUGUCAACUAGUUGUUGGGGAUUCAUUUCCUUAGUAACGUAGCUAACGCGUGAAGUUGACCGCCUGGGGAGUACGGUCGCAAGAUUAAAACUCAAAGGAAUUGACGGGGUCAUAGCGUUUCCU
This 587-nucleotide ribosomal RNA is filed under the name uncultured bacterium. RNAcentral's name for it is "partial 16S ribosomal RNA". It matches the Rfam family "Bacterial small subunit ribosomal RNA", at positions 355 to 937 of the family's 1533-position model. The record is from RNAcentral.